Molecule: long non-coding RNA, 615 nt
Organism: Suricata suricatta (meerkat)
Lineage: Eukaryota; Metazoa; Chordata; Mammalia; Carnivora; Herpestidae
Exons: 3
Source: RefSeq, a predicted model, not a curated record
GGCUUGGGGAUAAUGGGCAGGGAAGUGACUGGAGGGGCGCUGGCCACAUGCCUUUUCUCUGCCCUGCAUGGUUCCUGCCCUGUUGAGUGGUUCUUGAAGUGAGUUUGCUGGCCCCUGGGGACCCCCAAGUCUCUUGCAGCAGACCCCUCAAGAUUCCAGUUUCACUGAAGGACGUCCUUGAUGAAGCAGCAAGGAUUAUUAUCUUAUUAAAUCUCCCCCUGAGUACUGUCUUUUGACUAUUCUGUGUGAGGAAAUGGGAAGUAUACAGAAAGCACUUUAAUCACCUUCCAAAGUGCAAUGGCUGGGUCAAGAAGAAGUAUUGGUAUUUUUGAGUUACAAGCUAAAUUAGCCAUCUUUUUCAUGGAACAUCAUUUUUACUUGAAAGAAAGCCUGACAAUCACAGUAUUCAUGUUUGGAUAUUUGGCAAACAUUUUCUCAAAAAUAAACAAAAUGAGCCUGCCACUUCAAAGAAAACAAUUGUAUGACAGAGUUUUGGAAAACGUGUAUCUGCCAUUGUGAACUUGACAGCUUCCUGAUGCUUAAAGACUGCUCUGGUGAAAUUGCUGGUGAUAUUAGCCAUGUGAAUUUUUGUGUGCUGAUAACGAAUGUGUCAAC